This is a long non-coding RNA of Drosophila elegans, 1835 nucleotides long. RefSeq lists it as uncharacterized. The transcript has 6 exons. The record is from RefSeq and is a predicted model, not a curated record. Lineage: Eukaryota; Metazoa; Arthropoda; Insecta; Diptera; Drosophilidae.
CACGCCGCAGUCAGGAGCCGCUUGUUUUGAUUGCCGCAAACAUUCCAGUGUGUUUUGCCAGUGGCCGAGAGAAGCUUGGGUCAGAUUUCCAUCGCGAGUCAUCCUCUUGCUUGUCAGGAGCCAGGAUACCGUUUGUGGCAGGUUUGUCUGCCGCAGUCGUCACAGCCGUAUUUUCGUCUUUCUCCGCACUCGCAAUCGUCAGGAAUCACAGGAAAUGGUCAACCCAGCCAGGUUGUGCUUAGUUGGCUUUGGAUGAGGAUAUUGAUGGAUUUAGUGGCGCGCUGUCUGGAAUAUUAGGGACCAGUGAAGAUGGACAAAUCCCCCGCCGCAGUCGUCUAGGCUUGGACCAGAAGAAUUCGAUGGCUGUGUCAGAUAAGUUUAUGAUUUAAUUAUGUUUAUUGCGCAUUUAGUUUUAAAGAGUUUUUAAUUUUUUAUUUCUCGCAGAUUUGUCCAUGGAAGCAGUCACGGAUUUUCGGUUGCCAAAAAGCCCUUUAAAGCAGGUAAGAAGUUUUUGGUCUAAUUUGUUAAUUGUGUAUAUGUUAAUUAUUUUGAUUUUUUAUUAUAUUACAGGCGCAGCGGAAGAAAUUUUUUGUUGUUACUGGAUCGUGUUUGAGUCAGAUAAGUUUAUAGUUAAAUUUUUUGUUAAUGCGCAUUUAGCGCAUUUUGAAGAUUUUUUGUUUUUAUUUUUAUUUUUUGCAGAUUCAUCCAUUGCAGCAGUCAGAGUUUGGGGGCCAAAAAUCAUUUAAAGCAGGUAAGUAGCUUUUAAGAUUAGAUGUAUUUAUUGCGCUUGUGUAUUUUUAUUUUUUUUUGUAGACGUAUCCCUCGCCGCAGUCGUGUUUACCAGGACCCUGGCAAGCCCAAGCGUGGUUCUGGCUGUGUGUUUGUGUGGAAUUUACUCGUCGCAGUUGAUAUGUGGUUGGGGUAGGCUUAUCCCUCGCCGCAGUCGAGUGUGGAAUUCCCUCGCCGCAGUCAAGGUGUGGUUAGGGUAGGAGAUGUAUCCCUCGCCACAGUCGUGUGCACCCGAAGCCGAUCAGGAGCCCAAAUGGGUUCCAAAAAUGUGUCCGUGUGGAAUUCCCUCGCCGCAGUCAAAGUGUGGUUUGGGUAGGAAGUGUAUCCCUCGCCGCAGUCGUGUGCACCCGAAGCCGGUCAGGAGUCCAAGCAUGGUUUAGAUGGGUGAAUGUGUUGUUGGUUUUAUUUAUUAUAAAUGAUGUGUUUUUAAAUAUGCCCUUUUUUCCGCAGGUUCGUCCAUACGAGCAGAUUGAAAAAAGCAAACUACCUGACAAGACCAAAACACUCCUCUUCAAACAAAUAAUAUCGCCCAUCUGGCACUACUCAAUAGCUGUUUGGGGAUCCUUAAUAUCAGAAACAAGCGCCAAACAAAUUCAAACGGUGGAGAAUAAGCUAAUAAGGAAAUCUAUUGGUGCAUCUAGGUAUAUAAAACAAUCCACUAUCAGAGAAAUACAUAACAUCAAAUCUUUCUCAGAAGUCUUUGCUCUCUCUAGCCAAAGGUUUGCGAUCUCAACAACAACCCACACAAAUCCACUUAUAAGAGAUCUCAUCCUAAAACCGUAUAUCCCCAAAAGGCUAGCGGCGAGCAGAUCCAGAUACCUAGAUCAAUACCAAAAAUACCUGCUUCCAGCUAGAGCAAACAUCCCUGAACCACCAAUAGAGCCCACCUACAAAAGCACAUACGGAUACACGGAAAGUGUGGAAAAACAAAUACUGAAUAAAUUAAGGGAAAAAUUUAGAAAAAGUCUUCCUUCAUUACAGGACAGGAAGAAAACGAAAAGGAAAUUAAAAAGAAAAAUGAGAGAAAAAAGGCAUUAAAAACUAAA